Long non-coding RNA from Sebastes umbrosus (honeycomb rockfish), 687 nucleotides. RefSeq lists it as uncharacterized. The transcript is spliced from 2 exons. The record is from RefSeq and is a predicted model, not a curated record. NCBI's taxonomy places the organism in Eukaryota, Metazoa, Chordata, Actinopteri, Perciformes, Sebastidae.
GUCUCGGCUCCACGUCCGAACCGCCCGGACCCGGUUCCGAAAGGGCCCGACACUCACAGAGAGCAGAGCCAUGGUGUCAGCUACUCUCCCUGGGCUUCACUUCCCUCACUGCAUGGAUGGACCUGUGAGCUGACAGUGGCGUGAAAGUGGCCUUAAAGUGAGGUCAUAUUCUACACUUGAGAUGGCUGUGUCAUGCUUUGCAUGUGAAGAACUUUACCGUGCAGUGGGGGUGUCUUGCCUCCUUGGGGACCAUCUUCUUCCUCUCCACGAUCAAAGGGAUUGAGGCGGGUUUGGCGGAAAAUUGCAAGUCUCUCAUCAUACUCCAUUUCAUCAGCUACAUCUACAGAAGAGAGAAUACAGAUUACCUCAGACUUUACAAAGCCACAACUGCUAUGUGAAGAGGUUUUAGAAACUGGUCCACAGAUUCUAUUAAAAACAGAAAUAUCAUGAAUAAAACGUGGACUGCUUUCCAUAACCUCUACAAUGAAUGAAGGAAACGGUGCACUCUGAUUGCUCAGCUGCAUCAGUUAGCCUGAUGUCCCUGACCUAAACUGUUUGUAAGAUACAGCAAAACAGUAUGGUUUAUGGAUAUUCCAUCAAUUUACACCAGUUUGUCAUAUUGUCUGCCAUGCUGAAUCUUCAGUGUAAACACACUGCAAUAACCACUUGAAAUAAACUGAAAACUGA